GAGUUUGAUCGUGGCUCAGAUUGAACGCUGGCGGUAUGCUUAACACAUGCAAGUCGAACGGUAACAGGAGAGAGCUUGCUCUUUUGCUGACGAGUGGCGGACGGGUGAGUAAUGCGUAGGAAUCUGCCUAGUAGUGGGGGACAACGUGUGGAAACGCACGCUAAUACCGCAUACGCCCUACGGGGGAAAGCGGGGAUCUUCGGACCUCGCGCUAUUAGAUGAGCCUACGUUAGAUUAGCUAGUUGGUGGGGUAAAGGCCUACCAAGGCGACGAUCUAUAGCUGGUCUGAGAGGAUGAUCAGCCACACUGGGACUGAGACACGGCCCAGACUCCUACGGGAGGCAGCAGUGGGGAAUAUUGGACAAUGGGCGAAAGCCUGAUCCAGCAAUACCGCGUGUGUGAAGAAGGCCUGAGGGUUGUAAAGCACUUUCAAUUGUGAAGAAAUAUUUAAGGUUAAUAACCUUAAAUUUUGACGUUAACUUUAGAAGAAGCACCGGCUAACUCCGUGCCAGCCGCCGCGGUAAG
RNAcentral lists this ribosomal RNA (525 nucleotides) under uncultured microorganism. Its description in RNAcentral is "bacterial SSU rRNA". It matches the Rfam family "Bacterial small subunit ribosomal RNA", at positions 9 to 524 of the family's 1533-position model. The record is from RNAcentral.